Molecule: ribosomal RNA, 245 nt
Filed under: uncultured bacterium
Lineage: Bacteria
Description: partial small subunit ribosomal RNA
Rfam family: Bacterial small subunit ribosomal RNA
Source: RNAcentral
AGAAUCAACGCUGGCGGCGUGCCUAACACAUGCAAGUCGCACGAGAAAGGGUAGCAAUACCUGAGUACAGUGGCGCACGGGUGAGUAACACGUGAAUGAUCUACCUCCGAGUGGGGAAUAACUGAGAGAAAUCUUAGCUAAUACCGCAUAAUACCCACGGGUCAAAGCAGCAAUGCGCUUGGAGAGGAGUUCGCGGCCGAUUAGUUAGUUGGCGGGGUAAUGGCCCACCAAGACGAUGAUCGGUA